GAUGAAGAACGCAGCGAAAUGCGAUAAGUAAUGUGAAUUGCAGAAUUCAGUGAAUCAUCGAAUCUUUGAACGCACAUUGCGCCCCUUGGUAUUCCGAGGGGCAUGCCUGUUCGAGCGUCAUUAUAACCCCUCAAGCUCAGCCUGGUGUUGGGGCCUGCUGCACUGGCAGCCCUUAAAAUCAGUGGCGGCGCCAUCUGGCUCUAAGCGUAGUAAUUCUUCUCGCUAUGGAGUCCUGGUGGAUGCUUGCCAUCAACCCCCAAUUUUUCUAUGGUUGACCUCGGAUCAGGUAGGGAUACCCGCUGAACUUAAGCAUAUCAAUAAGCGGAGGA
This 329-nucleotide unclassified non-coding RNA is filed under the name soil metagenome. RNAcentral's name for it is "partial contains 5.8S ribosomal RNA, internal transcribed spacer 2, and large subunit ribosomal RNA". The stretch from base 1 to 120 matches the Rfam family "5.8S ribosomal RNA", at positions 35 to 154 of the family's 154-position model. The record is from RNAcentral.